UGGUUGAUUGUAUUAUUGAUAAUGGUUUUGAUUAAUAAUACAAGUUGGGACGUGGGUUUUCCACGUCAAAUAUAUUGUUGUGUGUGUGCUUUGCAUUAGAAGAUUGAAUCUCGUUUUUUAUCCUAACAAGUGGUAUCAAGAGCCGAGGUCAGGAUCGUGAUUGAUGGGGUUGAGGAUGAAUUCGGGAUUCAAUCGAGAAUGCAGAGUAUGGUGAAUUUUGUUAGCAGGAAGAGGCAAAGUUACGUGCGGUAUGACGGUUGACUUGCACCGUGGAUCAAUCAUGAUGGACUCAAUAUGGAAGAAGAUUGGAUGGUUCUUCUAGAGGCCGGAGGAUUGUGAAAGCAAGGAUCGGGUGACUCAUGGAUGGAAGAGCACUCGGGGUUGAUGCACGUGAUUUUGUAGAUGGAUAAAAUUUGGAAGAACGAGACAUGGAGAUUCUUGUUCGAG
This 447-nucleotide long non-coding RNA is filed under the name Daucus carota (carrot). RNAcentral describes it as "long non-coding RNA (DCAR_LNC005893)". The record is from RNAcentral. Lineage: Eukaryota; Viridiplantae; Streptophyta; Magnoliopsida; Apiales; Apiaceae.